This 235-nucleotide long non-coding RNA is filed under the name Musa acuminata (dwarf banana). RNAcentral's name for it is "long non-coding RNA (MACU_LNC005321)". The record is from RNAcentral. Lineage: Eukaryota; Viridiplantae; Streptophyta; Magnoliopsida; Zingiberales; Musaceae.
GAGAAUUACUCCAAGUUGGGGUGAAAACUUCCUGCAUUCCAGAAGUUCGAUGGCAUUGAGAAGGUGAAUCACAGUAGCUAACUCAACGCAAGGAGUGCAAACACUUCAAGUGCUUCAAAAGUGUGAGCAAAGAACAGGCGAAGGCUAGUAACCAGCUCGAUGCAUGAAGUACAACCUCGAGGAGGCGGGCGAAGUCAAGUAACCUUUGCCUUCUCAACUCUUAAGAGAAUGGGCG